GAAAGUAAUAAAGGGCGUAUGGGGGAUGCCUAGGCUCUUGGAGGCGAAGAAAGACGUGGUAAGCUGCGAUAAGCCUCGGGGAUUUGCAAACGAGAAUUGAUCCGAGGAUUUCUGAAUGGGACAACCCGGCAGGCAGAAGGCCUGUCACACGAAAGUGGGCCAACCCUCUGAACUGAAACAUCUUAGUAGGAGGAGGAAAAGAAAGAAACAUCGAUUUCCUAAGUAGCGGCGAGCGAACGGGAAACAGCCUAAACCACAAUUGUUACGGCAACUGUGGGGUUGUAGGACUGCAAUAUUCAAAUGACUGUGAACUGGAAUGUUCUGGAAAGUUCAUCCAUAGAGAGUGAAAGACUCGUACAGGCAAGCACGUCAGGCGAUAGCAGUAUCCUGAGUAGGGCGGGACACGAGGAAUCCUGUCUGAAUCCGCCGGGACCACCCGGUAAGGCUAAAUACUCCCAAGAGACCGAUAGUGAACCAGUACCGUGAGGGAAAGGUGAAAAGAACCCCGAACAGGGGAGUGAAAUAGAACCUGAAACCAUACGCUUACAACCUGUCGGAGCAGCUUCGUGCUGUGACGGCGUGCCUAUUGAAUAAUGAGCCUACGAGUUACUAAUCACUGGCGAGGUUAAGUGCUAGGAAGCACGGAGCCGAAGCGAAAGCGAGUCUGAACAGGGCGUUUAGUCAGUGGUUGUAGACGCGAAACCUUGCGAUCUACCCUUGAGCAGGUUGAAGGUUGGGUAAAACCAACUGGAGGACCGAACGAAUAAGCGUUGAAAAGCUUCUCGAUGACUUGAGGGUAGGGGUGAAAGGCUAAUCAAGCUGGGAAAUAGCUCGUACUCCCCGAAAUGCCUUUUGGGGCAGCGUUGUAAUAAAGAGUCUACUGGAGGUAGAGCUACUGAUUGGAUGCGGGGGCUUCACCGCCUACCAAAUCCUGACAAACUCCGAAUGCCAGUAGUAUGAUUUACAGCAGUGAGCGACCGGGUGCUAAUGUCCGGUUACGAGAGUGGAACAACACAGACCAGCAACUAAGGUCCCCAAGAAUAUGCUAAGUUGAACUAACGAUGUUUUGUUGCAGAGACAGCUAGGAUGUUAGCUUGGAAGCAGCUAUUCAUUCAAAGAGUGCGUAACAGCUCACUAGUCGAGCGACAGAGCGUGGAUAAUAAACGGGCAUCAAGCAUAUCACCGAAGUUCUGGGCGCGAGAGCGCGGUAGGGGAGCAUUCCAUUCAGCGUCGAAGCAGUUUCGUGAGGAAUUGUGGAGCGUAUGGAAAAGCAAAUGUAGGCAUGAGUAACGAUAAUGCGGGAGAGUAACCCGCACACCGCAAGACCAAGGUUUCCUGAUCAACGCUAAUCGGAUCAGGGUUAGUCGGGUCCUAAGGGUAAGCCGAACGGCGAUCUCGAUGGAUAAUCGGUUAAUAUUCCGAUACUAACAUAUACCUCGAUGGAGAGACGAAGGAACGUAAGUGACGCCGCCUGACGGAAUAGGUGGUUAAAGGGUGUAGGUAUAGGGACAGAUUAAGAGUUAGUCCUUGCUGAAACCCGACAGUACGGAGCGGCUACGGCCAAUCUGAUAGUUCACCCAAGUCGACUUCCGAGAAAAUCUUCUAAGUUAUAGUAUAUGUUACCCGUACCGUAAACCGACACAGGUGGUCGAGGAGAGUAUCCUAAGGUGCUCGAGUGAAUCACGGUUAAGGAACUAGGCAAAUUAACCCCGUAACUUCGGGAAAAGGGGUCCCUAUGAAAGUAGGGCGCAGCGAAGAGGUCCAGGCGACUGUUUAUCAAAAACACAGGGCUCUGCAAAUUCGAAAGAAGACGUAUAGGGCCUGACACCUGCCCGGUGCUGGAAGGUUAAGAGGGGAUGUCAUCGCAAGAGAAGCAUUGAAUCGAAGCCCCAGUAAACGGCGGCCGUAACUAUAACGGUCCUAAGGUAGCGAAAUUCCUUGUCGGGUAAGUUCCGACCUGCACGAAUGGUGUAACGAUCUGGACACUGUCUCAACCGUGAGCUCGGUGAAAUUGUAGUCCCGGUGAUGAUGCCGGGUACCCGCAACGGGACGAAAAGACCCCGUGAACCUUUACUAUAGCUUAACGCUGAAUUUGGGUACACAAUGUGUAGGAUAGGCCGGAGGCUUUGAAGCGGGCACGCCAGUGUUCGUGGAGCCGACGUUGAAAUACGGCCCUUUGUGUAUUUGAGUUCUAACCCUGCGAAGGGGACACCGUUUGGUGGGUAGUUUGACUGGGGUGGUCGCCUCCAAAAGCGUAACGGAGGCUUCCC
RNAcentral lists this ribosomal RNA (2270 nucleotides) under human metagenome. Its description in RNAcentral is "bacterial LSU rRNA". It matches the Rfam family "Bacterial large subunit ribosomal RNA", at positions 1 to 2312 of the family's 2925-position model. The record is from RNAcentral.